CCUACGGGAGGCAGCAGUGGGGAAUUUUGGACAAUGGGCGCAAGCCUGAUCCAGCCAUGCCGCGUGUAUGAAGAAGGCCUUCGGGUUGUAAACUGCUUUUGUCUGGGAAGAAGUCCUCUGGCUUAAUACCUCGGGGGGAUGACGGUACCUGAAGAAUAAGCACCGGCUAACUACGUGCCAGCAGCCGCGGUAAU
RNAcentral lists this ribosomal RNA (194 nucleotides) under uncultured Burkholderiales bacterium. RNAcentral's name for it is "partial 16S ribosomal RNA". It matches the Rfam family "Bacterial small subunit ribosomal RNA", at positions 338 to 524 of the family's 1533-position model. Lineage: Bacteria; Pseudomonadati; Pseudomonadota; Betaproteobacteria; Burkholderiales. The record is from RNAcentral.